This 1191-nucleotide small RNA is filed under the name Pholiota sp. 1 MK-2015. RNAcentral's name for it is "eukaryotic LSU rRNA". The stretch from base 575 to 1191 matches the Rfam family "Eukaryotic large subunit ribosomal RNA", at positions 1 to 618 of the family's 3401-position model. Lineage: Eukaryota; Fungi; Basidiomycota; Agaricomycetes; Agaricales; Strophariaceae. The record is from RNAcentral.
GCUGGUUCUUAUAGGACAUGUGCACGUCUGCCAUCUUUAUAUCUCCACCUGUGCACACAUUGUAGGUCUGGAAUAACUCUCUGAGGAAACUCAGUUGUUAGGAUUGCUUCUGCAAAGGAGCUUUUCUUGUGUUUCCAGAUCUAUGUUUUCAUAUACACCAUAAGAAUGUAACAGAAUGUAUUAAUGGGUCUUGUACCUAUAAACUAUAUACAACUUUCAGCAACGGAUCUCUUGGCUCUCGCAUCGAUGAAGAACGCAGCGAAAUGCGAUAAGUAAUGUGAAUUGCAGAAUUCAGUGAAUCAUCGAAUCUUUGAACGCACCUUGCGCUCCUUGGUAUUCCGAGGAGCAUGCCUGUUUGAGUGUCAUUAAAUUCUCAAUCUUACCAGCUUUUGUUGGAAAAGACUUGGAUGUGGGGGGGAAAAUUUUUGAAGGUUUCUCGCGGAACCUUCUCCCCUGAAAUGCAUUAGCUGGACGCUCGCGCGGACAGUCUAUUGGUGUGAUAAUUAUCUACGCCAUUAGCUGACUGCCAUUAGUAGCACCGCUUCUAACUGUCUUCGGACAAUAUAUGACAAUUUGACCUCAAAUCAGGUAGGACUACCCGCUGAACUUAAGCAUAUCAAUAAGCGGAGGAAAAGAAACUAACAAGGAUUCCCCUAGUAACUGCGAGUGAAGCGGGAAAAGCUCAAAUUUAAAAUCUGGUGGUCUUUGGCCAUCCGAGUUGUAAUCUAGAGAAGUGUUAUCCGCGCUGGACCGUGUACAAGUCUCCUGGAAUGGAGCGUCAUAGAGGGUGAGAAUCCCGUCUUUGACACGGACUACCAGGGCUUUGUGAUGCGCUCUCAAAGAGUCGAGUUGUUUGGGAAUGCAGCUCAAAAUGGGUGGUAAAUUCCAUCUAAAGCUAAAUAUUGGCGAGAGACCGAUAGCGAACAAGUACCGUGAGGGAAAGAUGAAAAGAACUUUGGAAAGAGAGUUAAACAGUACGUGAAAUUGCUGAAAGGGAAACGCUUGAAGUCAGUCGCGUUGUCUGGGGAUCAACCUUGCUUUUGCUGGGCGUACUUUCCAGAUGACGGGUCAGCAUCAAUUUUGACCGUUGGAUAAAGAUUAGAGGAAUGUGGCAUCUUCGGAUGUGUUAUAGCCUUUGGUUGUAUACAACGGUUGGGAUUGAGGAACUCAGCACGCCGCAAGGCCGGGUAC